UCCAGCUGUGCCUGUGUCCAGUGGAGGAGCAGGGUGGGAUUCAAACCCUAAAUGGGAUUUAUCCAGUUUUACAGAGAGGGCUGGUGGCAGACAAAUGUCCAGUUAUGGGAUUACUCCCCUUCCUCUUCUUGCUCCAUCAUGGAAAUGAUGGAAUUAAUGAGCUGAUCUCGUUUAUUCCAAGGGAGAACCUGGCCCGCCAGGAAAAGGAGUGGAAAUGGAGGACCUGGAGAGGCUUUUUGAAGCGUAUGGGAUCAAGCUGGCGCUGCUGAGGGAGCUCUCCAACGCGAUCCUGCGGGACAGGCUCCUGUGGACCAGCAAAACUUCCAGGGAAAACCAGGCAGCCGUGCCUGUCACCGUGAGUGUGUCACCUGGCAGCGGUGACAGACCUCCAGGGAAUGAGGGAGAUGGGAAUGAGCCACCACCAGGGUCACCUCUGUCAUCGAGCAGGUCACGGUGGCUUGGGGCAGGCACCGGGAUCUGGGAUAUUUGGGAUGGUCCUGGUGUGAAGGACAGGUGUCUGCCAAGAAAGGCAGAAGCUGCUCUUUGAAAUGGAGAAUGUAAACCCCGUCCCUCCAAAUUAUUAUCAUUUUGAAAUUAAGGUGCUCCUAGGCAAAGAGAUGGGAAUUAGGAAUAACAGUUCUUCACUAGGAAAAUUCAAAUAGAAAUGCAGCAUUACAAAGAACAAUCCCAAACCCUGCCAGAGUCAGAAUCCAAGCUGACACCCGUCAGUCAGUCAGGGUGCUGGCAGCAGUCCCAUUCAAUGGUGGCUGCAUCCUCCUGCAGUGGCAGAUGUGGUUCA
RNAcentral lists this long non-coding RNA (799 nucleotides) under Ficedula albicollis (Collared flycatcher). RNAcentral's name for it is "lncRNA (ENSFALG00000026929.1)". The record is from RNAcentral. Lineage: Eukaryota; Metazoa; Chordata; Aves; Passeriformes; Muscicapidae.